Long non-coding RNA from Helianthus annuus (common sunflower), 911 nucleotides. RefSeq lists it as uncharacterized. Lineage: Eukaryota; Viridiplantae; Streptophyta; Magnoliopsida; Asterales; Asteraceae. The record is from RefSeq and is a predicted model, not a curated record. The transcript has 2 exons.
UUUAUUCUCAUCAUAUUGUAAACCCUAGCCCCCACCUAAACAAAAACACACACAUAACUUGCCUUUAUCGAAUGAGAGAUAGAGAGCCGAAGGAGAGAGAAAGUUGAGAUGCAGGCUGGUGGUCUUCGGCCACAUAGUUACGAAGGCGCCGCAUCAGCAGCUUAUGGUGGCGGCGAUAUGGCGUGGAGCGGUGGUGGUGAGGCUCAGGUGGCGGCGGCAGUUCAGGUGCGUGUGGGGAGGACUGGCUGAUGCGAUGCACUCGAGAUGGUUCUGACUCAAAUCUAGCAGCAACAACCACAAAUCUGAACUCCAUUAGCGUCGGUGUCCCUCUAGCAGCAGCGACUACGGCACCCGUCCUUAGAGCGACGGUGGUGGUGGUUUGAUGAUUCACAAGAGGCAGCGAUGGGGAGUGUCGAGUUCAGAUCGGGUCCUUAUGUGUCAAGGUUUGGAGGCGACAAUAAGUAUUGGUGUUUCUUCAUCCAUAAUUUAAAAUUUCGGUUAUACGGUAGUUACCGGCAACGGAGACGAUCACCAUCCGUCGGUUAGUGGUGAAUAGACGUGACGUUUAAUCCUUGGUGCAUAUGGUAGUGUUUAGAAACUGAGCUGUGAAGUUUUGGGUUGUUUGGAAACAAAUCCGGGUUAGCCAGUCGUCGGGUCAACCAGUCAACUAAGGUCAACUCGGUUAAACCAGUCAACACGCUUUUGAAGGGGAGUUUUAUGUGCCUAUUUUGUUGAACGAUUCGUAUGAGAAGGUAGCUUCACACGUGUGAGUAUUCUAUAUUUGAAAACGUGUAUUAUUUGUAAUAAUAGAACGUUAACGAGCUCUAGUGAACCCAACCCGACUAGUAGGAUUGUAGAAUAAUAUGUUAAUUGUACGCGAGAUAAUCUAAUUAAUCGGACUUGUACACGUC